This is a long non-coding RNA of Panicum virgatum (switchgrass), 1024 nucleotides long. RefSeq lists it as uncharacterized. The transcript is spliced from 2 exons. Lineage: Eukaryota; Viridiplantae; Streptophyta; Magnoliopsida; Poales; Poaceae. The record is from RefSeq and is a predicted model, not a curated record.
UCAGCACACGCGCAGAAGCCAGCAGAGGCGUGCCGUCCCGGCCUGGCCGCGGCCGGUGGCGGCGCCAUUUGGCUCAAUCUAUCCCACCCGCCGUCCGGCGAGCAAGGAGCGUUUUCAUGGCACACGGGAUCGAAUUGAAAAUUUCGUCCAAUUGGGAGACGACGGCGAGGCAGCCGGCCGCCGUCCGCUGACAGCGACGACCGUCUCGCGUCGCGUGCGCAUCCGGACGACGACGACGACGACGCGUUUAAGCAAAAGCUGCUACGCGUUUCAAUUCUUUUUCUUUCUUUUUUUAAUCAAAAACGCGUGGGCGGCCGGUUCUAUAUAAUCUGCAGGGACCAGAUGCUGGAUCAGAUCAUAGUUCUUGCUUUGACACACGCAUCAUCCAUCCGGCAAAACAGUGUGCUAGCAGCUGAUCAAUCGAUCGAAUCCAUCCAUCCGUCAUGAGCUACCAAGCAGGCUACCCGCCGCCGGGCCAGCAGGCCUACGGCGGCGCGCCCCCGCCGCCGGCCUACGUCGCGCCGCCGCCGGCGUACCCGCCCACCCAGGAUGGCGGGUACCAGCAGCAGCAGCAGCCGGAGACCACCAGCCGCGGCGGCGACGGCUUCUGGAAAGGAUGCUGCGCCGCCGUCUGCUGCUGCUGCCUCCUCGACAUGUGCUUCUGAGGACGACGACGAGUGGCGACACCAGCUAGUUGCUCAUCACGAUGAUUCAUUGCUCAAUUUGUGUGGUUGUACCUUUGUUCAGUUGUUAUUGUUCCAUUUAUUGGUAGUAUGACUACUAGGAGCGUCACGGGUGAUUUGUUGAUUUCGAGUAUGUGCUGGCUCAAUGUUUUGAAGGUGUUUGUAGCGGUAGAAUGAUGUGUGUAUUUACCAGAGUGAGUGUACGUGCGUGUUUGCGAGUUUCUACGUGUGUUUCUAUAAAAAAAAAAUUCACAGGGCACCGGGAUGAAUGGCAUGUGUGUACGUCUGGCUCUGUAGUCCACUACGUGUACAAACUUCUUUUUAAAAGAAUUUUCUCUUAA